RNAcentral lists this ribosomal RNA (748 nucleotides) under uncultured delta proteobacterium. RNAcentral describes it as "bacterial SSU rRNA". It matches the Rfam family "Bacterial small subunit ribosomal RNA", at positions 8 to 728 of the family's 1533-position model. Lineage: Bacteria; Deltaproteobacteria. The record is from RNAcentral.
AGAGUUUGAUCCUGGCUCAGAAUAAACGCUGGCGGCGUGCUUAACACAUGCAAGUCGCACGAGAAAGCUUCAGCUUGCUGAAGCAAGUAAAGUGGCGCACGGGUGAGUAACGCGUGGGUAAUCUACCCCCGAAUUGGGGAUAACAUUGCGAAAGUGAUGCUAAUACCGAAUGAUAUCCUGAAAUCUUAUGUUUUCCGGAUCAAAGAUGGCCUCUACAUGUAAGCUAUUGUUUGGGGAUGAGCUCGCGUACCAUUAGCUUGUUGGUUGGGUAAUGGCCUACCAAGGCAACGAUGGUUAGCUGGUCUGAGAGGAUGAUCAGCCACACUGGAACUGACACACGGUCCAGACUCCUACGGGAGGCAGCAGUGAGGAAUUUUGCGCAAUGGGGGAAACCCUGACGCAGCAACGCCGCGUGAGUGAUGAAGGCUUUCGGGUCGUAAAGCUCUGUCAAGUGGGAAGAAUCCAUAUGGUGUUAAUAUCACCAUAUGCUGACGGUACCACUGAAGGAAGCACCGGCUAACUCCGUGCCAGCAGCCGCGGUAAUACGGGGGGUGCAAGCGUUAUUCGGAAUUACUGGGCGUAAAGAGCGCGUAGGCGGUCUUUUAAGUCAGGUGUGAAAGCCCGGGGCUCAACCCCGGAAGUGCACUUGAAACUAAGAGACUUGAGUAUGGGAGAGGGAAGUGGAAUUCCUGGUGUAGCGGUGAAAUGCGUAGAUAUCAGGAGGAACAUCGGUGGCGAAGGCGACUUC